RNAcentral lists this unclassified non-coding RNA (329 nucleotides) under soil metagenome. RNAcentral's name for it is "partial contains 5.8S ribosomal RNA, internal transcribed spacer 2, and large subunit ribosomal RNA". The stretch from base 4 to 119 matches the Rfam family "5.8S ribosomal RNA", at positions 39 to 154 of the family's 154-position model. The record is from RNAcentral.
GAUAAGAACGUAGCGAAAUGCGAUAAGUAAUGUGAAUUGCAGAAUUCAGUGAAUCAUCGAAUCUUUGAACGCACAUUGCGCCCUCUGGUAUUCCGGGGGGCAUGCCUGUUCGAGCGUCAUUACAACCCUCAAGCUUUGCUUGGUAUUGGACAUUGCCAGUUUCUGGCAGGUCUUAAAAUCAGUGGCGGUGCCAUUUGGCUUCAAGCGUAGUAAUUCUUCUCGCUUUGGAGAUCCAAGUGGUUACUUGCCAAUAACCCCCAAUUUUUUCAGGUUGACCUCGGAUCAGGUAGGGAUACCCGCUGAACUUAAGCAUAUCAAUAAGCGGAGGA